Molecule: long non-coding RNA, 1064 nt
Filed under: Piliocolobus tephrosceles (Ugandan red Colobus)
Lineage: Eukaryota; Metazoa; Chordata; Mammalia; Primates; Cercopithecidae
Description: lncRNA (ENSPTEG00000017510.1)
Source: RNAcentral
AAUGGGAAAAUGAUUCAACACAAGUUAGAAACAAAAAAAAAAAAAAAAAAAAUUCAAAAAAGCAUAGAAAUGAUGACAGCUUCAACAAUGUAAAAAAAAGUUGGGACAAUUUCGGCAAGCCCGACCAGUUUAACAGAAUUAACAAUUUUAAUGAUAAAACAAAAGGAAAGGUAAAAUUUGAUUUAAGUAAAAAAGAAGAACACAUUGAUUCGAUACAUGGUGGUAGUGGUAGUGGUAGUGGUAGCACUGGUAGUAGUAGUAGUAGUAGUAGUCAUAGUGAUAAUAAUGUCAGUAGUAUGGAAAUAGUCGGAAAAAAUGGUUGUCGAACUAAUCCUGAUAUAAUACAAAAUGAAAAACGGGAACAAGGUUAUAUGGAAUUUAACUCGAAUAGUAAUUUAUCAAGUAGCUCAUCUUUUAGCACUAAUAAAAACUUAUAUAAAAAUAAUGCUACUACUGCUUGUGCUACAAAAAAAAAAAAUGGUACAAAUAAAAGUGACAGUAAUAGUAGUUAUGGUAAUAACUCCAAACUAAAUAAACAAUAUACUCCCUUUUUCUUUAAUUCUUCGUUUAAUAAUGACAAAAAUGAUAAUAAUUCAGAUACUUCCAAAUUAGAAAAAGAAAAAACGCAAUUGGAUUUAGGUUUUCCUCAAAUAUUUCCUUCUAAUAAUAAAAUAAAAAGUGAUUUGUCCUCUUCGUUUUUUAAUUUUCCGGACGAUAAAAGUGUUCGAACAGGUAGCAACGGGAGUGAUAAAGGUAGCGAGGACAAUGCGUUUUUACGAAAUAGUUUUAAUAAAAACGACUUCUGUCCCAAAACGAAUGAGGAGACAAAGCAGAAAGAGGAGAUAGAGAAGACAGAGGAGAUAGAGAAGACAGAGGAGAUAGAGGAGACAGAGGAGACAAAGGAGAAAGAACAAAAAAGGCAGGCAAAACAACUAAGUACUAAUGUAGAAUUAAAAAAAAGAAACACAAAUGAACAUAAAGACCAUGACCAUGAAAAAAUGGCCGAUGCUAUUCUUAAACACAUAAAAAAAAAAUUAAAAAAAGAGAUGGGUACAUCUUUUAUG